GGGUUGUGAGGUUAAGCGACUAAGCGUACACGGUGGAUGCCCUGGCAGUCAGAGGCGAUGAAGGGCGUGCUAAUCUGCGAUAAGCGCCGGUAAGGUGAUAUGAACCGUUAUAACCGGCGAUACCCGAAUGGGGAAACCCAGUGUGACUCGUCACACUAUCAUUAACUGAAUCCAUAGGUUAAUGAGGCGAACCGGGGGAACUGAAACAUCUAAGUACCCCGAGGAAAAGAAAUCAACCGAGAUUCCCCCAGUAGCGGCGAGCGAACGGGGAGGAGCCCAGAGCCUGAAUCAGCAUGUGUGUUAGUGGAAGCGUCUGGAAAGGCGCGCGAUACAGGGUGACAGCCCCGUACACAAAAGCGCAUGUGCUGUGAGCUCGAUGAGUAGGGCGGGACACGUGGUAUCCUGUCUGAAUAUGGGGGGACCAUCCUCCAAGGCUAAAUACUCCUGACUGACCGAUAGUGAACCAGUACCGUGAGGGAAAGGCGAAAAGAACCCCGGCGAGGGGAGUGAAAAAGAACCUGAAACCGUGUACGUACAAGCAGUGGGAGCACCCUUUGGGUGUGACUGCGUACCUUUUGUAUAAUGGGUCAGCGACUUAUAUUCUGUAGCAAGGUUAACCGAAUAGGGGAGCCGGAGGGAAACCGAGUCUUAACCGGGCGUUAAGUUGCAGGGUAUAGACCCGAAACCCGGUGAUCUAGCCAUGGGCAGGUUGAAGGUUGGGUAACACUAACUGGAGGACCGAACCGACUAAUGUUGAAAAAUUAGCGGAUGACCUGUGGCUGGGGGUGAAAGGCCAAUCAAACCGGGAGAUAGCUGGUUCUCCCCGAAAGCUAUUUAGGUAGCGCCUCGUGAAUUCAUCUCCGGGGGUAGAGCACUGUUUCGGCUAGGGGGCCAUCCC
This 898-nucleotide ribosomal RNA is filed under the name Salmonella enterica. Its description in RNAcentral is "partial 23S ribosomal RNA". It matches the Rfam family "Bacterial large subunit ribosomal RNA", at positions 1 to 933 of the family's 2925-position model. The record is from RNAcentral. Lineage: Bacteria; Pseudomonadati; Pseudomonadota; Gammaproteobacteria; Enterobacterales; Enterobacteriaceae.